RNAcentral lists this ribosomal RNA (501 nucleotides) under uncultured bacterium. Its description in RNAcentral is "bacterial SSU rRNA". It matches the Rfam family "Bacterial small subunit ribosomal RNA", at positions 19 to 518 of the family's 1533-position model. The record is from RNAcentral.
AUGGCUCAGGAUGAACGCUGGCGGCGUGCCUAACACAUGCAAGUCGAACGAAGCACUGGAAACGGAGAUUCGUCAAAGUUCCUUGACUUAGUGGCGGACGGGUGAGUAAUGCGUGAGCAACCUGCCUUCAGAGGGGGACAACAGUUGGAAACGACUGCUAAUACCGCAUAAUGUAUAAUGGAGGCAUCUCCGAGAUACCAAAGGAGCAAUCCGCUGAAAGAUGGGCUCACGUCUGAUUAGCUAGUUGGUGAGGUAACGGCUCACCAAGGCUGCGAUCAGUAGCCGGACUGAGAGGUUGAACGGCCACAUUGGGACUGAGAUACGGCCCAGACUCCUACGGGAGGCAGCAGGUGGGGAAUAUUGGGCAAUGGGCGAAAGCCUCGACCCAGCAACGCCGCGUGAAGGAAGAAGGUCUUCGGAUUGUAAACUUCUUUUAUGAGGGACGAAGGACGUGACGGUACCUCAUGAAUAAGCCACGGCUAACUACGUGCCAGCAGCUGC